GACUCCGUAGCUCAGCUGGAUAGAGCGUUUGGCUACGAACCAAAAGGUCGGGGGUUCGAAUCCCUCCGGGGCCA
RNAcentral lists this transfer RNA (74 nucleotides) under Succiniclasticum ruminis DSM 9236. It matches the Rfam family "tRNA". From Rfam's summary of the family: Transfer RNA (tRNA) molecules are approximately 80 nucleotides in length. Their secondary structure includes four short double-helical elements and three loops (D, anti-codon, and T loops). The record is from Rfam by way of RNAcentral. Lineage: Bacteria; Bacillati; Bacillota; Negativicutes; Acidaminococcales; Acidaminococcaceae.